Molecule: non-coding RNA, 268 nt
Organism: Pelobates cultripes (western spadefoot toad)
Lineage: Eukaryota; Metazoa; Chordata; Amphibia; Anura; Pelobatidae
Source: the annotation of a GenBank genome assembly
GUAAAACACAGUAGGACAGGAAUUUGCGAUCAAAUAAGGUGGGCUGCCCUUUAGGAGAGGGCAAGAGACAUGUAUGUGAGGUAGGGGUUAGUCUGGGAGGCCAUAAGCUUUCCUAAAGAGAUGGGUUUUAAGGCACUUCUUAAAAGAUGCAAGACUAGGGGAGAGUCUGAUGGCGGGAGGCAGGCUAUUCCAUAGGAAGGGAGCCGCCCGCGAGAAGUCCUGCAAGCGCGAGUUGGCCGUACGGGUGCGGACAACGGACAGGAGGUGG